Molecule: ribosomal RNA, 466 nt
Filed under: Actenicerus aerosus
Lineage: Eukaryota; Metazoa; Arthropoda; Insecta; Coleoptera; Elateridae
Description: partial 16S ribosomal RNA
Rfam family: Archaeal large subunit ribosomal RNA
Source: RNAcentral
UAAAUUGCCGCGGUAUUUUGACCGUGCAAAGGUAGCAUAAUAAUUAGUUUUUUUAUUGAAAGCUGGAAUGAAUGAUUGGACGAGAAAUUUUCUGUCUCAAAGGUAUUUAUUUUUUAAUUUAACUUCUAAGUUAAAAGGCUUAGAUUUAUCUAUCAAAGACGAGAAGACCCUAUAGAGUUUUAUAGCUUUUUUUGUAGGGGGUUUUUGGUGAUUUUAAUUUUUCUAUAUUUUUAGUUAUUUGGUUGGGGUGACUUGAAGAUUUGAAUAACUCUUCUAAUAUUUUAUCAUUGAUUUAUGAAUGUUUAAUCUAAUAUUUUUAAAAUUAAAAUAAAUUACCUUAGGGAUAACAGCGUAAUUUCUUUUAAGAGUUCUUAUUGGAAGAGAAGUUUGCGACCUCGAUGUUGGAUUAAAAUUUAUUUUUGGUGUAGCAGCUGAGAUAUUAGGUCUGUUCGACCUUUGAAAUUUU